This is an RNA transcript of Triticum aestivum (bread wheat), 2446 nucleotides long. It is a transcript of the gene named protein ELC-like, with no coding region annotated. The record is from RefSeq and is a predicted model, not a curated record. NCBI's taxonomy places the organism in Eukaryota, Viridiplantae, Streptophyta, Magnoliopsida, Poales, Poaceae. The transcript is spliced from 3 exons.
AAAGGAAAAGGAAGCGAACCCUCCUUCCCCUUCCUAUCGUGCACUCUUCUUCCUCCUUCCCCCCUCCCCAAAUAUCCACAGAGAAGGCAGGAGGACCAAACCCUAGCCGCCGCCGACCCGAUCCCAUGGCGCCGUCCCCGUCCCCGCCGCCGGCGGCGAGCGGAGCGCAGUACGCGCACCAGUUCCUCAACACCGCCCUCUCCCAGCGCGGGCCGUCGGCGCUCCCCUACGCGGAGGACGUCAAGUGGCUCAUCCGCAACCACCUCGUGGCCCUCGCCGACGCCUUCCCCUCGCUCCACCCCAAGGCGGCCCUCUUCACCCACAACGACGGCCGCGCCGCGCACCUGCUCCAGGCCGACGGCACCGUCCCCAUCCACCACGCCGGGGCCACCUACAACCUGCCCGCCGUCAUCUGGCUGCCCGAGACCUACCCGCGCUCCCCGCCCCUCGUCUUCCUCUCCCCCACCCGCGACAUGCUCAUCAAGCCCCACCACCCGCUCGUCGACCGCUCCGGCCUCGUCGCCAACGCGCCCUACCUCCGCUCCUGGGUCUUCCCCUCCUCCAACCUCCUCGACCUCGUCAGAUCCCUCUCCCACCUCUUCGGCCUCGACCCGCCGCUCUUCACCAGAUCCGUCGCAGCCCCGUCUCCCACUCCUCCUCCCGCUCAUCCUCCUCCUCCUCCCGCCGCCGCCUCCCCCGCCAUGCGCCCCGAGGCCGUCUAUGCUCCUGCCCCUCGCCCAUACAGGUUCCCGGCAUCGCCCCAGCUCGCCGCGCGCCAGCCGCCCACAGAGGACCCAGCCGAGGUCUUCAAGCGCAACGCCAUCUCCAAGCUCGUCGACACUGCCUAUGCUGAUGCUGCUGCCCUGCGCACCGCCCAUGAGGCUGAGGUCGACUCCCUCUUCGCCGUGCAGGCCGAGCUGCGUGGCCGGGGGGAGGCGGUGAACGACGGGGUGCGCAGGAUCACGGAGGAGAAGGAGACGCUCGAGCGCCGGCUUCAGGACGUGGUGAUGGCCACUGACGUCAUUGAGGCUUGGGUUGCCGAGAACCGCAAGGGGGCUGCUGAUGACACCGCCGAGGCGGAGGGGGCUAUCCAGCCGGCCGAUGUGCUGUCCAGGCAGAUGCUUGAGUGCACAGCUACUGAUUUGGCGCUCGAGGACACCAUCUAUGCGCUUGACAAGGCUGUGCAGGAAGGAUCGGUGCCGUUCGACGGCUACCUCAGGAGCGUGCGCGCACUUGCACGGGAGCAGUUCUUCCAGCGUGUCCUCUGCACCAAGGUUAACAAUGCGCAGCAGCAGGCACAGGUUGCUAGGAUGGCAGCACGGGCACCACAGUACGCCUCCUAGCCAAGAUGAUGGAUAGGGCUCGGUGGCGUGUUCAUCAAUACCCCCAACUGCUGUGGCAUCAACCGUUCCUGAUAUAAUUCAGACUGUCUUGUCCAGGCGAUCCAGGAUGCUUUCCUUUGAUAAAAAAUCAUCUGUGCCAUCUCAUAUGAGUGAUCUUGCCCCCACAGUGUUCUGGAUAUACAGAUCACGUUGAUAAAGUGACGAGACCCUGGACAAGAUUCAUGGAACUUAUUUUGGGAGUUCAGCCCUGAGUUCACGGUGUUCAAGAUGCAGGUGUGGUGAAACCGAAGAACAGUGUUCUAGACGUUUUUACUUGUAUGAACAGUGGUACUAUUGGUGCGUUCACUGGGGUUUACAACAAGUCCCACUCAGCCAGGCUUGGACCUUUGCUGUUCCAGAUGUUUUACCAGAAAAAUGUAUUCCUUGGUACAGUUUCUGCCUAAAUCUUGAUAAUAGGCAGCUUCAUUCAAUCAUUUGAGGAUUGUUCAAUACAAACAUGGCCCUGAUAAUACCAGGAGACACAUUAAACCAGCAGGGCCCUUCAUCAUGGUCAGCUGACUUUGCUAGAACAUGAGCUGCCUCAUUACAAGAACAACUAACAUGAGUACAGCUACAGGAUAUGAACUUUGGAGCCCUACUCUCAAUAUCAAAGACCUUGGGCAACUAUGUGAGAUCUGUCCUCCCCACUCUUCACCUUACUCAUCAAACUAGCACAAUCGGAAGCAACAAUAAUCUGUUGGAAGCCAGUUUCUUCAGCAAAGGCUAGAGCAUGGUGCACUGCAAUAGCUUCACCCAACUCUGGAUUAUCUACAUGAUCAAAUCUUCUGCUUGCAGCUAACACCAGAUCCAGACGGCUGCGGAUGACAACACCAAUGCCCAUGCCGGUCUGGGCGAAAAUCCAAAUCCAGACUUGGGUGAAGGGUGAGGCAUUUUCCUACCAUUUCUCAUACUGUUCCGAUUCUCCCAAAUGUGCCAAAUUGCAACAGCAUGAGGCAUUAGAAAUCCAGUUUGAUAGCCAUUGUUGCAUAUGGACAAAGCUUUUUAGAUUUAUUGAUAUAUAUAUAUAUCAGAUGAUCUCUUUAGAUCCGCCCAGAUUUCUUUGA